Beta vulgaris subsp. vulgaris (sugar beet) is the source of this 1262-nucleotide RNA transcript. RefSeq lists it as hypothetical. The record is from RefSeq and is a predicted model, not a curated record. The transcript is spliced from 5 exons. Lineage: Eukaryota; Viridiplantae; Streptophyta; Magnoliopsida; Caryophyllales; Amaranthaceae.
UUUUGAAGAGAUAAAUCAAAUGGGUCUAUAUACUAUUUUAUUCUUGUCCACUCUUGACUCUUCCCAGGUGACUGAGUCGAAAAAAUAAAGUUGCAAGUUGAAACGUAAUAAGAUCAGAAAGAAAGUCGGAGAGAGACAUCUUCCAUCUUUCAUUAAUCAUUCUUCCGUGCCCUAACUCUCUCUCUAGUACUAUACCGAGAUAAAGAGAUGAGAGGCAUAGGAGGACCACUGUUGUGCAUUGGAGAUCUGUUAAGCGAUGUUGGUGAAGCAGAUGACAAAUUGGAGGAUACAACCUAUGCCUCUCUUUUUCAAUCUCAACCUUCUUCUCAUCUUCUUCAUCCCGACCUCCAUUUUCAACCUUCUCGCCUCACCCAACUUUUCCAGGAAAGCUACGAUCAGUUGAACAAGGCACUUGCUGGCUCAGAUCAUUCAUGGACUUCUAUGACAUUGGAGCUGUGUACUACUCUGGAUACUGCAAAGAAGCUGAUAGAGUCCGCCAAUUCAAAUGUGAUGGUGCUAUCAGAGAAUGUUGGGGAACUUGAAAAUAUAAUCAAGAAAGGAGAGUCUGCUAUUGCAGAGGUCAGAUCCAUUCAUAGCUCACUAAGCCAAAGGAUUGAUUCAGCGACUAAGAGAGAAGCCUAAUCAUAGCUUAUCAAGUGCUCAUUGGUUGAAAGUGCAGUAUAAACCAAUCUAUGAUGUUUCAGGCUAAGGUUCCUUCGAAGGCGUGAGCUUUUGCUGCAUCGGGAGACAUAGAUACUAGUGAUACGCUGCAAAAGUAGAGGAUGGGGUUAGCUACCUUGUCAGGUAAUAAACUGGAGAAGGUACCCAUGAUUCUGGGAUAUCAAUGAGCAGGUCAAUCCUUUUAGAGAUGAUGAGGUUUUCAAUCCUUGUAAUAUGUAAAAUGUAAAUGUUAUCCAAAUCUAAGUUACAUCUUGUUGAUUCAAGACAAGGUUGAGUGAAUCUCAUGAUACUGUGUUUUAGAUUGUGUUUAUGCUGCACAUAUCACAUGACAUCAGCUCAAGUCGAUUAUUCGAAGAAAUCUGUGUGAAUCCUGAAGACUUGCUAACACUUUCAGAAACCAGGAAGGGUUGGAAUUUGCUUUCAUGAUGGAUUUGUAUUGAAGAUCCAUGUGAGAUUCAUAUGCUACUUAUUUUGAUGUAUUGAGCGUUGAGCAGAUUUUACAGAGUAAUGUAGGUCUGAAUAUUAAUGUAGCUGAACUCGGAUCCUUCAGUGAAUCAAUACAACCUAAAUCUAACCUGUCA